UACGGAGGGGGCAAGCGUUACUCGGAAUUAUUGGGCGUAAAGGGCGCGUAGGCGGUCUCGCGCGUCGGAGGUGAAAUCCCCGGGCUCAACCCGGGACGUGCCUCCGGUACGGCGAGGCUUGAGUCCGGGAGAGGAGAGCGGAAUUCCCAGUGUAGCGGUGAAAUGCGUAGAUAUUGGGAGGAACACCAGUGGCGAAGGCGGCUCUCUGGACCGGUACUGACGCUGAGGCGCGAAAGCGUGGGGAGCAAACAGG
RNAcentral lists this ribosomal RNA (253 nucleotides) under uncultured bacterium. RNAcentral describes it as "partial 16S ribosomal RNA". It matches the Rfam family "Bacterial small subunit ribosomal RNA", at positions 524 to 776 of the family's 1533-position model. The record is from RNAcentral. RNAcentral also lists the same sequence under 1 other name.